CGGCAAUGGAGGAAACUCUGACCGAGCAACGCCGCGUGAACGAUGAAGUAUUUCGGUACGUAAGGUUCUUUUAUUAGGGAAGAAUAAAUGAUGGAAAAAUCAUUCUGACGGUACCUAAUGAAUAAGCCCCGGCUAACUAUGUGCCAGCAGCCGCGGUAAUACAUAGGGGGCAAGCGUUAUCCGGAAUUACUGGGCGUAAAGGGUGCGUAGGCGGUUAAAUAAGUUUAUGGUCUAAGUGCAAUGCUUAACAUUGUGAUGCUAUAAAAACUGUUUAACUAGAGUAAGAUAGAGGCAAGUGGAAUUCCAUGUGUAGUGGUAAAAUGCGUAAAUAUAUGGAGGAACACCAGUAGUGAAGGCGGCUUGCUGGGUCUUUACUGACGCUGAGGCACGAAAGCGUGGGGAGCAAACAGGAUUAGAUACCCUGGUAGUCCACGCCGUAAACGAUGAGUACUAAAUGUUGGGUAAAACCAGUGUUGAAGUUAACACAUUAAGUACUCCGCCUGAGUAGUACGUACGCAAGUAUGAAACUUAAAGGAAUUGACGGGACUCCGCACAAGCGGUGGAUCAUGUUGUUUAAUUCGAAGGUACCCGAAAAACCUCACCAGGUCUUGACAUGCUUCUGCAAAGCUGUAGAAACACAGUGGAGGUUAUCAGUUGCACAGGUGGUGCAUGGUUGUCGUCAGCUCGUGUCGUGAGAUGUUGGGUUAAGUCCCGCAACGAGCGCAACCCUUAUUGUUAGUUGCCAGCACGUAAUGGUGGGGACUUUAGCAAGACUGCCAGUGAUAAAUUGGAGGAAGGUGGGGACGACGUCAAAUCAUCAUGCCCCUUAUGACCUGGGCUACAAACGUGAUACAAUGGCUGUUACAAAGAGUACUGAA
RNAcentral lists this ribosomal RNA (878 nucleotides) under Rubus sp. phytoplasma. RNAcentral describes it as "bacterial SSU rRNA". It matches the Rfam family "Bacterial small subunit ribosomal RNA", at positions 366 to 1253 of the family's 1533-position model. The record is from RNAcentral. Lineage: Bacteria; Bacillati; Mycoplasmatota; Mollicutes; Acholeplasmatales; Acholeplasmataceae.